AAGUGUGAAGGUGGGAAAACAAGUCCUUCACAGGCGAUCUCAAGCUGCCAUGAGUCUGCUCUGACCCUGUCCGUGUGAAAACAUGACCAGCGGGACACUGGCGCACAGCCCGGCUGCCCUGAGGGGAGGAGGAAGGCUGAGGGGCACUGAGGGGAGGCGGGCGCCAUGUUGGGUGCCUGAGGGUCCGUGAGGGGACAGCCGGCCAUGGCCGCUCCAGGUUCUGCACAACCUCAGAUUUGUGCUGAUGUUUUUACUUCAGAGCUGAUCCUAAUGUCUUUCUUUUGAAGCAUUUUAAUAUCAGAAGUGUUCGAAUGGCAGACCGAGAAAAGCUGGUACACAGGGAGCCUUGGUACAACUGCUGGCCCACUCUUCAGGCAACUGCUAAUUACAAAAGAAUUCCAUAGGAAGGACUUCCAGGAGAGGACGAGGGUGUCUCAUCUGUGCCAGGCACUCGGCAGGAGCAUGUGAGGAGUGAACUCUGGCCUGCUCAGUCUAUUUAGCAAGCUCUGAGAUGUCUUACAACAUCCCACUGGGAUCUCCAGAGCCCACUUCACUCCUCAGGAAGUGCAGGCAAAGGCGGGUAUGGACUUCCAAUGGGAAUCUGAACUGAGGUGGCCACAGAGCAACUGCUCCUUCCAUAUCACACCAGGAGUGCCUUUAUCCCACCAACCAACCCUGCUGACAGCCCAGGGAGGAGGGGAAAGGGGCAGCACAUUUCAUGCUGCAGCCCCCCGGAUUUUCUGCUAUCCCAUUUGAGCACUCCAGGAAAAUUUUGCUGCAUCACAAGCUGGAAGCACCAAGGAGUUCAGAGAAGUUCUGCUGAAGACCAGGACUGUUGGUUGCCUUCUGCCCAAUUAAUCCAGGAAUCAGUUCCAGGUGAGUAAGGCCUUGUAUCCAUGCACAGCCACUGUUGAUUUGAGUGGGAUUCCUCAGCUGUGCCAGUCUCCACCACAUAAUUUCAGUUGCAAGAUGAGGCUCCCCAGGAAAAGUGUCAUAGAGUCAGAGAACUGUUUAGAUUGAAAAGACCUUCAAGACCAUCGAGACCAACCAUUCCCCCAGCACUGCCAAGGCCACCACUAACCCAUGUCCCCAAGUGCCACAUCCACAUGGCUUUUAAAUCCCUCCAGGGAUGCGAUCUCUGCCACUGCCCUGGGCAGCUCUGUCAGGGCUGGACAGCCCUUUCCAGGAAGACAUUUUCCCUAAUAUCCAAUCUAAGCGUCCCCUGGUGCAGCUUGAGGCUGUUUCUUCUUUAGCAAGCAUGAUCUUAAGUGAACCUCCAACAGUAAUUUAUCCCUGCUCUCAGUUACCCUUGAAAGCUCAGAGCACCCUGAUGUCUUACAAGGGUAUUUGUGUGAUUUUAAAGCCCAGAAUUUACUUGUGGGUAAAUAUGAUACGAUAAUAAAAAAACCAGUAUCCCAACACUGUA
This is a long non-coding RNA of Pseudopipra pipra, 1426 nucleotides long. RefSeq lists it as uncharacterized. NCBI's taxonomy places the organism in Eukaryota, Metazoa, Chordata, Aves, Passeriformes, Pipridae. The record is from RefSeq and is a predicted model, not a curated record. The transcript is spliced from 6 exons.